AACACGGACCAAGGAGUCUAACAUGUGCGCGAGUCAUUGGGUCAAUUAAAGCCUAAAGGCGCAAUGAAAGUAAAGGUCGUCCUUUGCGUCGACCGAGGGAGGAUGGCUCGCGUCACGAUGCGAGCCCGCACUCCCGGGGCAUCUCGUGUUCAUUGCGAACAGAGGUGCACCCAGAGCGCACACGUUGGGACCCGAAAGAUGGUGAACUAUGCCUGGUCAGGACGAAGUCAGGGGAAACCCUGAUGGAGGUCCGUAGCGAUUCUGACGUGCAAAUCGAUCGUCGGAACUGGGUAUAGGGGCGAAAGACUAAUCGAACCAUCUAGUAGCUGGUUCCUUCCGA
Molecule: ribosomal RNA, 340 nt
Filed under: Encarsia inaron
Lineage: Eukaryota; Metazoa; Arthropoda; Insecta; Hymenoptera; Aphelinidae
Description: eukaryotic LSU rRNA
Rfam family: Eukaryotic large subunit ribosomal RNA
Source: RNAcentral